Molecule: microRNA precursor, 68 nt
Filed under: Strongylocentrotus purpuratus (purple sea urchin)
Lineage: Eukaryota; Metazoa; Echinodermata; Echinoidea; Camarodonta; Strongylocentrotidae
Description: Spu-Let-7_pre stem-loop
Source: RNAcentral
UGAGGUAGUAGGUUAUAUAGUUUGGAGAUACACUCAAUGGCGAUAGCUAUACAGCCUGCUAGCUUUCC